Poecilia latipinna (sailfin molly) is the source of this 4073-nucleotide long non-coding RNA. RefSeq lists it as uncharacterized. Lineage: Eukaryota; Metazoa; Chordata; Actinopteri; Cyprinodontiformes; Poeciliidae. The transcript is spliced from 3 exons. The record is from RefSeq and is a predicted model, not a curated record.
CAACGCUUUGUUUACGGAAGUAACAAUGGGCGCGCGGUUUACGAAUCUAUUUUUAGUUAUUCAGAGCUGACAGCCUUGUCAGAAGAUUAUAACAAAAUGAAGUAAACAAACAAACAAAAAUUAUUAUUAAGUUAAAAAAGGGAACAGUAACGGCCUUUAGCGUAGUGUUGACUGCAGCUUCCGGCGAGAAAUCUGUGGAUGUGGAGUCAGGAAAGAGAGACGCGUCUCAGAGCCAGGUUUGCAGCGGAGAGAUUAAACGACGCCUCGGAGGUUGGAGGAGAAGAAUGUGUGUUUGCAUGAAGGAUCGAUGGCUAAUCCCAAACUUAAUCUGGUGUCUGUGCUUUACAUCGUAUCUGUCCUCACUCUCUGCUGCCAGCUGAGGGGAACAAGAUCGUUUGUGUCUGACAAAAAGCCGCGGUGAUUCAGGAGCUGAUGCUCCUGCUGGAGCCGAGGAAGACCAAGAGGAAGGCUUAUCUCAGACUGGAAAACAUCUACAGAAACAAAAACAGACGCAGCUGCUGGGAGGGAUAAUGACUUAAAAAGUUUCACUCAAACUGUUGGAAAGGCUGGAUGCUCUUCAGCUUAACUGCACUGACAGAGAAAGGCAGCUGUUGAUGUUGAAUUAUGAUUUUCUUUUGUUGAAAUCAGAUUUUUUUUAAUCCUGCAGGAUCAGAAUUAGACCAGGAAAUUAUUUGAACUAGAUGCAGAUCUUCAACUUCUAUUUUGUAGAAACUAAAACAUCAAAACACACAGCUAUAGCUACUGGUGGGACAAGAUUAAGAUUUUUAAUUGGAGGGUCUGUAAUUAAUUGAAAACUACAUCGACAAAAUGGGCAACAUUCUGAAUUCAAAAACCCUCAAACCUGCAGUAUGUAACUUUUAUGAAGAAAAUUAUUUUAUAUAUUUGUUAAAACUGUCAACAAACUGAGUUUGUUAUAAGUCAUAUAAUCUCCUCCACUUUCUCCCUGAGUUGCAUUUCUGCACCGCUCCAUAACAACCAAUCACAUCCAGGAGGCGGUUCUUAAUGCUGUUUAUCAUCCUCAUGUACUCGCUCCUUUGUGGCUAUGCUAAGAAGCCUGAGCAUUCACAACAUGCUAUGCUAGCUGCAGCAUAGCAGAGAGCAAAGGAGGAGGGUGAUUGACAGCGCUAAGACCCGCCUCCUGGCUCUGACUGGUUGUUUCCAGUUAGCACUGGGAGAAGGCAGAGGAGAUAAAUUUUUGUCACCGAUUGUGUUUCAUACUAAACUGUCAAAUAUAAAGACAAUUUUAACAAAAAAUGUUUUACAUAAGUUACAUACUGCAGCUUAACAACAACAUAUGAGCUCCACAGCAUUUAUUGUUUUUAAUUUGUUGUUUAGGUGAUUUAAUCAUCAUAUUAGAGCAAAGUUCAGCUUUCCAGAGGUUCAGGAAGCUCUGGUCAUCCAUGGAGCUUCUUUUGAAACGUGGAUGCUAACAUUAACGUUAGCUGCUGCAUGUUUAGCACUAAGAUGAUGUUUUAGGUUUCACUGAUAUGUUUACUCCUUUUAGCGGGACUCGAACACAACAGUAGUCUUUUUCCAAUCAAAUCAAAUUUUGAAGCAGAUAUUAAUCCCCAGUGAAACUUUCAUCGCUGCUGUUAGCGGAUGCUGCUUGUGCGUCAAAUUUACAGGCGCACAAGAAACGUGCAACAAAGGUUCCACCUCCGGAUUUUUGUAAGUAAAAUACAAAAUGAAUUGUGUUAACAUUUUUAGCACGCAUUACUAUCUAUUUCAUUAAAUUAACUCGUUAAAGUUCCACUCAGGGUUUUGUUGGAGGACUUGAAAUCUUCACUUCAGACUCUAACAUGCAGUUGUGUCACUCAAACUUCUCCUGACAGAAUUAUCUCAGAAAAUCAUUCAGUCUGUCCCUCCUGAGAUCAAAUCCUGAGCCAACGCUCCACUGCUCAGAUUCAUCCUCCCUCUCCUCCAUCAGCGAGGAGGAAUAACUCACCGGCAGCCCGCAGUAAUAUCAGCCUCCCUAUUGAUUACCGGGGUCGGCCUGGGAGAGAUCGACUCCUGCAGAGAUUGGAGGGACGCUCAGAGAGCUGCAGGAGAAAAUGAACCGGAGAAAUUAUCCAGAAAGUCACAUGCCACUUUGUUCCUGGAGCGCUCUUUUAUUAUUAAACGGAAAAAUACAGAUUGAAUCAAGUUUAUGGCAGCGAGAGGGACGGCGGCUGAAAAGCAGAUAACAAAAUGCACAUCCUGACUCCUUCCUCCGACUGGAAGCACAACAGUGGGGAUGUUUUUGGGUUUUAUGGGUUUUCUCCACAUCUUUCUUCUGUUUAACAUGAAGGGGAAAUGUUAAACUUCAUGCUGGUUUUGGGAACCAUCAACCCUUACGUUGCACAGAGUCUUAAUUUCAUUAUUUUAAAUAACAGAUGAAGAAAAAUAUUUUUUGAACUCAUCUCAGCUGCUAUUUCUGAACCUUUUCUGCAGAAUGUUUAUAUUUAAAAUUCUGCGUGAUUUUAAAUAUUUUUAACUUUUUAAUUUUAUUUUGUUUCUAAAUAUAAUGAAAAUCCAAACAAGCUCCAAGACGGCUUCGCAUGCAGCACAUUAAUAUUCUGUCAUAUUAGUCACUUUCUCUUAGAGAAACAAAAAAUGUUUUCUGUUUUUUCCAACCAUAGAAAACAAAUUUAAAGUUUGUCAUAAAAAGCGACAGCUGUUUCUGUCUCCGUCCUUCAGGCGGGGAGCGUCCGUCCUCCAGCUUCACCUUGGUUACAUACGACCUCGCAACACAUCACCGCAAAAUUAAUUAAAUUAGAAAAUAGAUGUUCAUUGGAACAGUGACCUCCACGUUGUAUUUGCACUCAUAAACUUACACACAGGACAAAACACACACUGUUGUUUCUCACCACCUAAAUCAACUGAUGAUGAAUUUGAACCUUUAGAAACUGAAACAUUUUGUUUCUCUGAUCCAACAUUCAGGUUUUUGAUGAAUGAAGUUGGUUUUCCAAAGUUUUUCAGUUUUAUCUGUGGUCGAUAAAUAAUGACAGUGUGGAUUCGUUUUGUUUUUGUCUCUUCAGAUCAGAUUGGAAUCAUUUCUGAAGUUCAUAACCAAAUCUUUCUUGUUAAAACUCAGAAAUUAUGUAUUUUUCCAGAACUGAUGUAGAGGAAAUUUGGCCCAAGAAUUUAACUGGAUGGAUGGAUGGAUGGAUGGAUGGUUGGUUGGCUGGUUGGUUGGAUGGUUGGUUGGAUGUGACAUCUGACCUCAGAAUAAUUUCCCAUCAUGCCAUUUUGCACAUAAACAGUGAAUUUCUCGCUUGCUGAUGUUUUUUUCUGACUCUCUUCCUGUAAUGAAGGUCGUGUAGGUUAAUGACGGCCACAUUAGCCUCAGUAGACCCCGGUUAUUUUCUGACUUCUGCCUGAAAUAACUCGAUAAAAAACAGCUCAACCAGGCUGGACUGGACAAAAGGAAAACUUAAUGGAGGAAUAUUGAUGUUUUCUCUUUGUUUUUUUUCUGCCUCAGUGUAAAAACUCCUCAGUGAAUUUAACCAACAUCAAAAUGAAAAGCAAAUUAUUUCACUCUGCCGCUUCCAAACAGAGUCAGACAGUCCGAGCAGUGAGCUUCAGCGAUGGACCGGACUGUGAAGUGAUUUAUUUUAGGACAGUCACAUCUGAGGUCCAAAUCACACAGAACCCGACGGUUCUGCUGCCAACCUCCGCCGUCUGCUCCGGCUUCGUGACUGGCGUACGAACUAACAACCUGUGUGUGGAAACGCAUACGUCCAGUAAAAGUGUGUGUGCAGCCUACAGUACGGUUAGCAUGGAUUACAGGUGUGUGUGUGUGUGUGUGUGUGUGUGUGUGUGUGUGUGUGCGUUUACAUCUGUUGCGUUUGGCACCAGAUGACAGAAGCGGCUCCUGUCGGUCACACCAGCAGGAAAGUGUCCAGAGAUUCACAAAGAAACGCAGAUUUUACUAAAGACAUGCAAACGCUGGGAAGAAGCAGCAAUAACUGGAUAUUUUUAUCCUGUUCAUGACAUAUUUUACAGUUUAAUAGAAAUUAUCUAACAGGACUAAAAAUAUUCUAAAAGGCAGUGGCGCCCUUAAGUGGGGGAAC